RNAcentral lists this transfer RNA (69 nucleotides) under Okamejei meerdervoortii (bigeye skate). RNAcentral's name for it is "tRNA-His". It matches the Rfam family "tRNA". From Rfam's summary of the family: Transfer RNA (tRNA) molecules are approximately 80 nucleotides in length. Their secondary structure includes four short double-helical elements and three loops (D, anti-codon, and T loops). Lineage: Eukaryota; Metazoa; Chordata; Chondrichthyes; Rajiformes; Rajidae. The record is from RNAcentral.
GUGUUUAUAGUUUAAUUAAAACGUUAGAUUGUGAUUCUAAAAAUAAAAGUUAAAACCUUUUUAUUCACC